AGAGUUUGAUCAUGGCUCAGAUUGAACGCUGGCGGCAUGCCUUACACAUGCAAGUCGAACGGUAACGCGGGGGCAACCCUGGCGACGAGUGGCGAACGGGUGAGUAAUACAUCGGAACAUAUCCAGUAGCGGGGGAUAACCUAUCGAAAGAUGGACUAAUACCGCAUACGAUCUACGGAUGAAAGCAGGGGACCGCAAGGCCUUGCACUAUUGGAGUGGCCGAUGUCGGAUUAGCUAGUUGGUGGGGUAAAAGCUUACCAAGGCGACGAUCCGUAGCUGGUCUGAGAGGACGAUCAGCCACACUGGAACUGAGACACGGUCCAGACUCCUACGGGAGGCAGCAGUGGGGAAUUUUGGACAAUGGGCGCAAGCCUGAUCCAGCCAUGCCGCGUGAGUGAAGAAGGCCUUCGGGUUGUAAAGCUCUUUCGGUGAAGACGAAACGGUUCAUGCUAAUAACGUGAACUAAUGACGGUACUCACAGAAGAAGCACCGGCUAACUACGUGCCAGCAGCCGCGGUAAUACGUAGGGUGCAGGCGUUAAUCGGAAUUACUGGGCGUAAAGCGUGCGCAGGCGGUUUGCUAAGACAGGUGUGAAAUCCCCGGGCUUAACCUGGGAAUUGCGCUUGUAACUGGCAAGCUAGAGUGUGGCAGAGGGGGGUGGAAUUCCACGUGUAGCAGUGAAAUGCGUAGAUAUGUGGAGGAACACCGAUGGCGAAGGCAGCCCCCUGGGUUAACACUGACGCUCAUGCACGAAAGCGUGGGGAGCAAACAGGAUUAGAUACCCUGGUAGUCCACGCCCUAAACUAUGUCAACUAGUUGUCGGGGAAGAAAUUCCUUGGUAACGAAGCUAACGCGUGAAGUUGACCGCCUGGGGAGUACGGCCGCAAGGUUAAAACUCAAAGGAAUUGACGGGGACCCGCACAAGCGGUGGAUUAUGUGGAUUAAUUCGAUGCAACGCGAAAAACCUUACCUACCCUUGACAUGCUAGGAAGCCCGCAGAGAUGUGGGUGUGCCCGAAAGGGAACCUAGACACAGGUGCUGCAUGGCUGUCGUCAGCUCGUGUCGUGAGAUGUUGGGUUAAGUCCCGCAACGAGCGCAACCCUUGCCAUUAGUUGCUACAUUCAGUUGGGCACUCUAAUGGGACCGCCGGUGACAAACCGGAGGAAGGUGGGAUGACGUCAAGUCCUCAUGGCCCUUAUGGGUAGGGCUUCACACGUAAUACAAUGGUCGGUACAGAGGGCUGCCAACCCGCAAGGGGGAGCUAAUCCCAGAAGGCCGAUCGUAGUCCGGAUUGUAGUCUGCAACUCGACUGCAUGAAGCCGGAAUCGCUAGUAAUCGCGGAUCUGCAUGUCGCGGUGAAUACGUUCCCGGGUCUUGUACACACCGCCCGUCACACCAUGGGAGUGGGUUCCACCAGAAGUAGUUAGCCUAACCGCAAGGAGGGCGAUUACCACGGUGAGAUUCAUGACUGGGGUGAAGUCGUAACAAGGUA
RNAcentral lists this ribosomal RNA (1492 nucleotides) under metagenome. RNAcentral describes it as "bacterial SSU rRNA". It matches the Rfam family "Bacterial small subunit ribosomal RNA". The record is from RNAcentral.